AUUGGUUGCUACCUUGUGAACAUGUGAUAUACUAUGCAAGGUUUAAUGACUUAGAAGGCUGCCAAAUAUCAAGGGAAUGAGGGAAUGUAUCAUAAUGUAUUAUAACAGAGCAACUUAAUAACUAUUUUAUCAAAAACUUGCACGAAACAUGGAUGGUCCAGCUUCAAGGUGUAGUCAUUAACUUGCCUGUUCAAGUUUGUAAUGUGGGUCUAGUUUGGCAAAAUUGAAUGAUUUCUUCCUUAGUUUAUCAUUACUUGAUUGCUCAGCUUCAGAAUACCAUACCUAUAUACUACUGUCUACCAAUGUCUUGAACCUUCCAUACACUAUGAACUUAAAACUACUGCAGCAACAACCCAAAUAUUUUCAGGUUUCCUACAUGAAUCCUCUUGUUUUCGUUCAGCUAUAGUAAGGGCCAUAUAGUAUUUUCAUGUGCUAAACUAGUGUCAGUUAGUUAAUACCAUGUCUUUCCCUUUCUGUGUAGUUUAGGUCAAACUUAGUAUUAGCCACUCCUUUAAUUAUGAUCCUGGUGGCGCAAAGUGGGGAUCUCGCUGCUGUUAGGGGGAUUUUGGGGGAGAUUGAUUCUCAGAUGACGGGGACCGGGGUUGAGUUUGACGCAGAGGGAAAUAUUAAAACUUGUGGUUCUGUCCCUCUUUCGCACAUGGAGCAGGCUUACUGCAAACAAAAGGAGCAAAUGUCUUAGAAAAUGGAUCAAGGAGGAAGAAACAUGAGCUUGUUGAAGAAACAUGAUGCUUCAACAACUUGGAGGAGUAAAUGCAAUUGGAUUCUAUAAAUUAUGCAAAGUUCAUCAAGUUAUGUAAACAAUUGUAUUCUUUAUUAUCUAUGUAAAGAAUUUAUGUAUCUCUCUAGUAUUUUGGUGAAUGUAUUAUUUGAAUGUAAUUAUAUUUGAUAUUGAAAUAUAAUUAGAUCGAUUGUGUUGG
Long non-coding RNA from Asparagus officinalis (garden asparagus), 938 nucleotides. RefSeq lists it as uncharacterized. The transcript has 3 exons. The record is from RefSeq and is a predicted model, not a curated record. NCBI's taxonomy places the organism in Eukaryota, Viridiplantae, Streptophyta, Magnoliopsida, Asparagales, Asparagaceae.